RNAcentral lists this long non-coding RNA (334 nucleotides) under Micromonas commoda. Its description in RNAcentral is "long non-coding RNA (MCOM_LNC000242)". Lineage: Eukaryota; Viridiplantae; Chlorophyta; Mamiellophyceae; Mamiellales; Mamiellaceae. The record is from RNAcentral.
GCGAGACGACGGGGAGGACGCGUCGGCGAUUCGAAUGUGCGAACAGGAACUGGCGGACGCGCAGUGGCGGAGCAUCGAGGACAUGGCGGUGCGCAACCAACACAUCAUGCCCGGGUCGCACAUGGACCACAUGUACGGCCUGUGCGUCGAGCACGCGGCGGGAAGGUACGCGGGCAUGGGUUGGCAGGCGCUGCCCAUCGGCUUUAACCGAGACGGCACCGUCACGACCUACUCCAACGCCCCGACGCGGGAGAUCAUGGGGAAGAACAUGCGUUCGUGACGUGUUAGCUCCGAGUCAGUCAGUCGCGUGUUGUGUACGUAUUCGAUUAUCAUA